RNAcentral lists this transfer RNA (78 nucleotides) under Beta vulgaris subsp. vulgaris (sugar beet). It matches the Rfam family "tRNA". From Rfam's summary of the family: Transfer RNA (tRNA) molecules are approximately 80 nucleotides in length. Lineage: Eukaryota; Viridiplantae; Streptophyta; Magnoliopsida; Caryophyllales; Amaranthaceae. The record is from Rfam by way of RNAcentral.
CGUCUAUUAGCUCAAUAUGGGAGAGCAUUGCAUGGUAACUAACAUGCAAAUAUAUAGGUUAAACUCCUACAUAGACAA